RNAcentral lists this ribosomal RNA (230 nucleotides) under uncultured bacterium. Its description in RNAcentral is "partial 16S ribosomal RNA". It matches the Rfam family "Bacterial small subunit ribosomal RNA", at positions 333 to 555 of the family's 1533-position model. The record is from RNAcentral.
CGGUCCCUACGGGGGGCAGCGGUAGGGAAUCUUCCACAAUGGACGAAAGUCUGAUGGAGCAACGCCGCGUGAGUGAAGAAGGGUUUCGGCUCGUAAAGCUCUGUUGGUAGUGAAGAAAGAUAGAGGUAGUAACUGGCCUUUAUUUGACGGUAAUUACUUAGAAAGUCACGGCUAACUACGUGCCAGCAGCCGCGGUAAUACGUAGGUGGCAAGCGUUGUCCGGAUUUUUU